GCCAGAUUCUGCACAGAGCUACAGUAGUGUCAUUAACUCCGGAGUGACUCCCUUGACUUGCUCCAGGUUACUGCUGAGAAGAGAAUAUGGUCCUUGUCUCGUGUUACUAAGUGUCAUCAGCGUAAAGGAGAAUCCGGUCUACUGAGCAUGGUGGCCUGAACCCAGGCUGGGAAGCUGAGUUCUAAGACUGACUCCGACAACAUCUGUGAUCUUGGCUCUUAACAAGCUGUAGCCGCAGCCAGCAUCUGGCCCGUUAUCAAUUGCUGUGGGCGCUACAUGGAAAGCAAACUGAGGAUUUGCAGAGAGGUGUCUCCGGUGGCACAGACCUUCUGCUGAUCUGAAAAACUGCUGGCCAAAGCGUGAUAAUGGGCAGCGGUGAUACACCAGUUGACAUCCUCCUGUGACGAGGAAGAUGCAGGCCUCACAGAUGACUUGGAAACAAAAUGAUAUCACAGGCAUCAAGAGGAGAAUCUGAUUUCUAUUAAAUCAAUGAGAGUUAGAUACCUCCAGACAGGGCUGGCUCCAGCGGC
Molecule: long non-coding RNA, 530 nt
Organism: Chrysemys picta bellii (western painted turtle)
Lineage: Eukaryota; Metazoa; Chordata; Testudines; Emydidae
Source: RefSeq, a predicted model, not a curated record